This 253-nucleotide ribosomal RNA is filed under the name uncultured bacterium. Its description in RNAcentral is "partial 16S ribosomal RNA". It matches the Rfam family "Bacterial small subunit ribosomal RNA", at positions 524 to 776 of the family's 1533-position model. The record is from RNAcentral.
GACAGAGGCCUCAAGCGUUAGGCGGAAUCACUGGGCUUAAAGCGUGUGUAGGCGGAUCGUUAAGUGCCUUGUGAAAUCCCACGGCUUAACUGUGGAACGGCUGGGCAUACUGGCGGUCUUGAGCCAUCUAGGGGCGACUGGAACAAACGGUGGAGCGGUGAAAUGCGUAGAUAUCGUGAGGAAGACCAGUGGCGAAGGCGGGUCUCUGGACAGUUCCUGACACUGAGGCACGAAGGCCAGGGGAGCAAACGGG